Molecule: long non-coding RNA, 286 nt
Filed under: Zonotrichia albicollis (white-throated sparrow)
Lineage: Eukaryota; Metazoa; Chordata; Aves; Passeriformes; Passerellidae
Description: lncRNA (ENSZALG00000011098.1)
Source: RNAcentral
CUGCUGUCCUGCCAGGCUCGCCGAGGCAGAUCAUAGGCAUGGAGGAACUUCUGCCAGGGAAGCUCUGGAGAACAAGAUACAGGGCUGAAAACAAAGACAUCCAAACCUUGAGCCGUUUAGAAGAGGAAGAUGCCAAAAUCUGUGCCAGAGGUUUGACUGCUGGGAUACUCAUGGCUUCAGGUUGGUUUCACGAGGCUUGGUCUGUUGGGAGGAUUUUCUGAGAUGCAUCUGAAUAGCUCAUAGCUGGAUGGCUCCAGCUCUGACCCCCUGACCUGAGUGAGGUUUG